AGUGAACGCUGGCGGUAGGCCUAACACAUGCAAGUCGAACGGCAGCACAGUAAGAGCUUGCUCUUACGGGUGGCGAGUGGCGGACGGGUGAGGAAUACAUCGGAAUCUACUUUUUCGUGGGGGAUAACGUAGGGAAACUUACGCUAAUACCGCAUACGACCUACGGGUGAAAGCAGGGGAUCUUCGGACCUUGCGCGAUUGAAUGAGCCGAUGUCGGAUUAGCUAGUUGGCGGGGUAAAGGCCCACCAAGGCGACGAUCCGUAGCUGGUCUGGGAGGAUGAUCAGCCACACUGGAACUGAGACACGGUCCAGACUCCUACGGGAGGCAGCAGUGGGGAAUAAUGGACAAUGGGCGCAAGCCUGAUCCAGCCAUACCGCGUGGGUGAAGAAGGCCUUCGGGUUGUAAAGCCCUUUUGUUGGGAAAGAAAAGCAGCAGGUUAAUACCCCGCUGUUCUGACGGUACCCAAAGAAUAAGCACCGGCUAACUUCGUG
Molecule: ribosomal RNA, 492 nt
Filed under: uncultured bacterium
Lineage: Bacteria
Description: partial 16S ribosomal RNA
Rfam family: Bacterial small subunit ribosomal RNA
Source: RNAcentral